Sugiyamaella lignohabitans is the source of this 72-nucleotide transfer RNA. It matches the Rfam family "tRNA". From Rfam's summary of the family: Transfer RNA (tRNA) molecules are approximately 80 nucleotides in length. Their secondary structure includes four short double-helical elements and three loops (D, anti-codon, and T loops). Lineage: Eukaryota; Fungi; Ascomycota; Dipodascomycetes; Dipodascales; Trichomonascaceae. The record is from Rfam.
GACCUUAUAGUCAAAUGGUUAUGACAUUAGUUCUUCAUACUAAUAGUACUGGUUCGAAUCCAGUUAAGGUUG